Molecule: ribosomal RNA, 443 nt
Filed under: uncultured bacterium
Lineage: Bacteria
Description: partial 16S ribosomal RNA
Rfam family: Bacterial small subunit ribosomal RNA
Source: RNAcentral
CCUACGGGUGGCAGCAGUGGGGAAUAUUGGGCAAUGGGCGCAAGCCUGACCCAGCAACGCCGCGUGAAGGAAGAAGGCUUUCGGGUUGUAAACUUCUUUUCUGAGGGACGAAGAAAGUGACGGUACCUCAGGAAUAAGCCACGGCUAACUACGUGCCAGCAGCCGCGGUAAUACGUAGGGGGCAAGCGUUAUCCGGAUUUAUUGGGUGUAAAGGGCGUGUAGGUGGGAAAGCAAGUCAGAUGUGAAAAGUCCGGGCUCAACCCUGAGCCUGCAUUUGAAACUGUUUUUCUUGAGUGCUGGAGAGGCAAUCGGAAUUCCGGGUGUAGCGGUGAAAUGCGUAGAUAUACGGAGGAACACCGGUGGCGAAGGCAGAUUGCUGGACAGGAACUGACGCUGAGGCGCGAAAGCGUGGGGAGCGAACAGGAUUAGAUACCCUUGUAGUC